CUUAGGCGUGUGACUGCGUACCUUUUGUAUAAUGGGUCAGCGACUUAUAUUCUGUAGCAAGGUUAACCGAAUAGGGGAGCCGAAGGGAAACCGAGUCUUAACUGGGCGUUAAGUUGCAGGGUAUAGACCCGAAACCCGGUGAUCUAGCCAUGGGCAGGUUGAAGGUUGGGUAACACUAACUGGAGGACCGAACCGACUAAUGUUGAAAAAUUAGCGGAUGACUUGUGGCUGGGGGUGAAAGGCCAAUCAAACCGGGAGAUAGCUGGUUCUCCCCGAAAGCUAUUUAGGUAGCGCCUCGUGAAUUCAUCUCCGGGGGUAGAGCACUGUUUCGGCAAGGGGGUCAUCCCGACUUACCAACCCGAUGCAAACUGCGAAUACCGGAGAAUGUUAUCACGGGAGACACACGGCGGGUGCUAACGUCCGUCGUGAAGAGGGAAACAACCCAGACCGCCAGCUAAGGUCCCAAAGUCAUGGUUAAGUGGGAAACGAUGUGGGAAGGCCCAGACAGCCAGGAUGUUGGCUUAGAAGCAGCCAUCAUUUAAAGAAAGCGUAAUAGCUCACUGGUCGAGUCGGCCUGCGCGGAAGAUGUAACGGGGCUAAACCAUGCACCGAAGCUGCGGCAGCGACACUAUGUGUUGUUGGGUAGGGGAGCGUUCUGUAAGCCUGUGAAGGUGUGCUGUGAGGCAUGCUGGAGGUAUCAGAAGUGCGAAUGCUGACAUAAGUAACGAUAAAGCGGGUGAAAAGCCCGCUCGCCGGAAGACCAAGGGUUCCUGUCCAACGUUAAUCGGGGCAGGGUGAGUCGACCCCUAAGGCGAGGCCGAAAGGCGUAGUCGAUGGGAAACAGGUUAAUAUUCCUGUACUUGGUGUUACUGCGAAGGGGGGACGGAGAAGGCUAUGUUGGCCGGGCGACGGUUGUCCCGGUUUAAGCGUGUAGGCUGGUUUUCCAGGCAAAUCCGGAAAAUCAAGGCUGAGGCGUGAUGACGAGGCACUACGGUGCUGAAGCAACAAAUGCCCUGCUUCCAGGAAAAGCCUCUAAGCAUCAGGUAACAUCAAAUCGUACCCCAAACCGACACAGGUGGUCAGGUAGAGAAUACCAAGGCGCUUGAGAGAACUCGGGUGAAGGAACUAGGCAAAAUGGUGCCGUAACUUCGGGAGAA
Molecule: ribosomal RNA, 1157 nt
Filed under: Escherichia coli
Lineage: Bacteria; Pseudomonadati; Pseudomonadota; Gammaproteobacteria; Enterobacterales; Enterobacteriaceae
Description: partial 23S ribosomal RNA
Rfam family: Bacterial large subunit ribosomal RNA
Source: RNAcentral